This 942-nucleotide non-coding RNA is filed under the name Lepidogalaxias salamandroides (salamanderfish). RNAcentral describes it as "12S ribosomal RNA". It matches the Rfam family "Bacterial small subunit ribosomal RNA". Lineage: Eukaryota; Metazoa; Chordata; Actinopteri; Lepidogalaxiiformes. The record is from RNAcentral.
UAAAGGCUUGGUCCUGACUUUAACAUUAACUUUGACUAGACUUACACAUGCAAGCUUCCACACCCCUGUGAAAAUGCUCUCACCACUCUUAUAGAACAUGAGAAGCUGGUAUCAGGCACACCAUGUAGCCCAAGACGCCUUGCACAGCCACACCUCCAAAGGAAUUCAGCAGUGAUAAAUAUUAAGCAAUAAGUGAAAACUUGACUUAGCCAAAGUCACCUAAGGCCGGUAAAACUCGUGCCAGCUACCGCGGUUAGACGAGAGACCUGAGUUAAUGUUCCACGGUAUAGAGUGUGGUUAAAGAGAACACAACUAGAGUCGAAAAUUUUUUAAAUUGUUAUAAGUAAAUGAAAACAUGAAGCACUAACACGAAAGUAACUCUAAACUACCUGAAACCACGACAGUUUUAACACAAACUGGGAUUAGAUACCCCACUAUGUUUUACCGUAAACUCAGAUAAUAAAACAUAAUUAUUAUUCACCAGGGUACUAUGAGCCUAAGCUUAAAACCCAAAGGACUUGGCGGUGCUUUAUACCCCCUAGAGGAGCCUGUUCUAGAAUUGAUGGUCCCCGCUUAACCUCACCACUCCUAGCCUUCAUCCGCCUAUAUACCGCCGUCAUCAGUUUACCCUAUGAAGGGAUACAAGUAAGCAAAAUAAGUAAAACUUAAAAUGUCAGGUCAAGGUGUAGCAUAUGAAGUGGGAAGAAAUGGGCUACAUUCCUUUUAUCAAGGCAUCGCGAAAGACGCUGUGAAAUCAGCCCAGAAGAUGGAUUUAGUAGUAAAAAGAAAAUAGAGAGUUCUUUUGAAAUAGGCCCUAAAGCACGUACACACCGCCCGUCACCCUCCUCAAAAACCUUUAAAAAUAUAAACAAAAAAAUUAUACUACAAGAGGAGGUAAGUCGUAACAAGGUAAGUGUACCGGAAGGUGCACUUGAAAUCACC